AUCGCUUCUCGGCCUUUUGGCUAAGAUCAAGUGUAGUACCAUCUAUGGUGUCAGUAUUAUUAAUCCCAUUUUAUUAUUUAUUUGAGAGGAAGAAUCACAGACAGAGGCAGAGAGAGAAACAGAAAGGUCUUAUCUGCUGGUUCACUCCCC
This is a small nuclear RNA of Oryctolagus cuniculus (rabbit), 150 nucleotides long. Its record names the gene U2. It matches the Rfam family "U2 spliceosomal RNA". From Rfam's summary of the family: U2 is a small nuclear RNA (snRNA) component of the spliceosome (involved in pre-mRNA splicing). The record is from Ensembl. Lineage: Eukaryota; Metazoa; Chordata; Mammalia; Lagomorpha; Leporidae.